Molecule: ribosomal RNA, 253 nt
Filed under: uncultured bacterium
Lineage: Bacteria
Description: partial 16S ribosomal RNA
Rfam family: Bacterial small subunit ribosomal RNA
Source: RNAcentral
UACGUAGGGGGCAAGCGUUGUCCGGAUUCAUUGGGCGUAAAGGGCGCGUAGGUGGCCUGUUAAGUCGAACGUGAAAUCCCCGGGCUCAACCCGGGAACUGCGUCCGAGACUGGCAGGCUCGAAUCCGGGAGAGGGAUGUGGAAUUCCAGGUGUAGCGGUGAAAUGCGUAGAUAUCUGGAGGAACACCGGUGGCGAAGGCGGCAUCCUGGACCGGUAUUGACGCUGAGGCGCGAAAGCCAGGGGAGCAAACGGG